CCUACGGGAGGCAGCAGUAGGGAAUCUUCCACAAUGGACGAAAGUCUGAUGGAGCAACGCCGCGUGAGUGAUGAAGGUUUUCGGAUCGUAAAACUCUGUUGUAAGGGAAGAACAAGUACGUUAGGAAAUGAACGUACCUUGACGGUACCUUAUUAGAAAGCCACGGCUAACUACGUGCCAGCAGCCGCGGUAAUACGUAGGUGGCAAGCGUUGUCCGGAUUUAUUGGGCGUAAAGCGCGCGCAGGCGGUUUCUUAAGUCUGAUGUGAAAGCCCACGGCUUAACCGUGGAGGGUCAUUGGAAACUGGGAGACUUGAGUGCAGAAGAGGAAAGUGGAAUUCCAAGUGUAGCGGUGAAAUGCGUAGAGAUUUGGAGGAACACCAGUGGCGAAGGCGACUUUUCUGGUCUGCAACUGACGCUGAGGCGCGAAAGCAUGGGGAGCAAACAGGAUUAGAUACCCUGGUAGUCCAUGCCGUAAACGAUGAGUGCUAAGUGUUAGGGGGUUUCCGCCCCUUAGUGCUGCAGCUAACGCAUUAAGCACUCCGCCUGGGGAGUACGACCGCAAGGUUGAAACUCAAAGGAAUUGACGGGGGCCCGCACAAGCGGUGGAGCAUGUGGUUUAAUUCGAAGCAACGCGAAGAACCUUAC
Molecule: ribosomal RNA, 646 nt
Filed under: bacterium HN3-5-11
Lineage: Bacteria
Description: bacterial SSU rRNA
Rfam family: Bacterial small subunit ribosomal RNA
Source: RNAcentral